UAAAAAUAAUAAGUAAACUUUUUGGCUAAUCCACACUGACUCAUAUUUCAGAAUAUGUUAUCGCAAGCUCACAUAUAUCUUAAUUAUUUAAGAAACAAUGAAACUAAAGUUGAUUGAGCAUAUUGAUGCUCGAUAUUUACCUUAUUUCAGACUUCAUGGAGCAAAUUAAUAGUUUAAAUCGGCCUGACAAACAGAUUAUAAUUGGUCCUUGCAGUAACAGUCUGACAGACUAACAAAACUGAAUCCCUGGACCUGUGUCAGUGUUACAGAUUUGCGUAAAAAAAAAAAAAAAAGUUCAUCGUUUAGUUUUUUUACAAACACAUUUUAAAACAUCACCUACACGUAAUCUAUUAUGGGACCAGGUCCCUGGCAUACGGCUGCCAGGGACUGGUUAACCGGCACCCUAUUUCCUGGCCGUUGGAUGCAUAUCCAGCGGCCAGGAUCAUAUUAAAGUUUUAAUAAAGCGCUGGACAUAUUAAAAUUUUAAUAUGAUCCUGGCCGCUGGAUAUGCAUCCAACGGUCCAGAAUCUGGAUGCCGGUUAAGCGCUCCACAGCAUACGGAUGCUGUGGACCGCUACCCAUCUAUUAUAUAUAUAAUACUACAACAUGGGUUUUGGUGAGCCAAUUUAAUCAUUAAUAUCCUCAUUAAUAUCUACACUAAUAAUUAUUUCAUUUAAUUUAUUACACAUUAUUAAUUACUAAUAACUACAUAUCUAAUAUCCGUCAUUGAUUAUAUCUAAUUAUUAUGUCUUAAUUAAUACACUCUUUGUCCCAUUUAAUUUUAUACGUUUCAACUGCUUGACACACAUUUCAAUGCUCUUAGAAAAUAUAGUUAUGUAACUUAUUUUUGAGGAUUUUUUUUUCCUAAAUAAAAAUUUAACAUCCAAACUUUAAUUCAAAAAAAAGAAAAUUUAAAAAAUAAAUUACAUAACUACACUUUGCAGGAGCAUUAAAGGUCGUGCCAUGUUCGCGUCCGUGUGCCUCGGUGUAUACUAUCUAGGGGGCGGAGGGAGUUCCUAGCGAAUACUAAUAAUCCCUCUGUUUUUUUUUAUUUGACGUUUUGACUUUUGACAUACUUCUUUAGAUGAUUGACCGGGUAGUAAAAGUUAUUAUUUUUAAGUUAUUUUUUUGUGAAUAAAAGUUUUAGUUGUAUAUUUUUAUUCAGAGAAAGAAAAUUUAAAAAAUAAUAUUUUUAACUACCUGGUCAAAGCACUUAAAAGUGUGCCUAAAGUCAAACGUCAAAUAAAAAAACAGAGAGAGUAAUUUAUUUAUCAUUAGAUCAUCUCAUCAAUCAUUAUACAUUAUUAACUGCUAAUAACUACAUAUUUAAUACAUGUUAUUAAUUAUAUCCCAAACUUUAAUUCAGAAAAACAAAAUUUAUAAAAAAAAUUUACACAACUACACUUUGCAGGAGCAUUAAAAUUUGUGCCGUGUUCCCGUCCGCGUCCCUCAAUGUAUAUUGUUAGGGACGGAGGGAGUAUGUAGCAAAUACUAAUAAUCCUCCUGUCUUUUUUAUUUGACUUGACGUUUUGACUUUUGGCACCCUUCUUUUGAUGAGUUGACCGGUUAGUAGAAAUUAUUAUUUUUAAUUUAUUGUUUUUUUGAAUAAAAGUUUUAGUUAUAUAUUUUUAUUCAGAGAAAGAAAAUUUAAAAAAUAAUAUUUCUAACUACCUGGUCAAAGAACUUAAAAAUGCAUGCCCAAAGUCAAAGCGUCGAAUAAAAAAAAUAGAGAGAGUAAUUUAUUUAUCAUUAGAUCAUCUCAUCAAUCAUUAUACAUUAUUAACUACUAACAACUACUCCCUCCGUCCCACCCAUUUCUUAUCAAAUGGGUUGGGCACGGAGGUUAAGGAAUAUGUAUAAAAUAGUGGAAAAGUGGGUAAAGUGAUGGGACCCAUUGAUUUUUAAUGUAUAAAAAGAAGAUAGUGGAGUAAAAGUAGUGUGAAAAGGAAAGAAAAGUGGAGAAGUGGUGGGACCCAUUGACUAUUUUUGGUAAGUUUUGAAAUGUAAAGAAUUGGAUGGGACACCUAAAAAAGGAAAGUGUAAAGAAAUGGGUGGGACGGAGGGAGUACAUAUUUAAUAUAUGCUAUUAAUUAUAUCUAAUUAUUAAAUCUCCUUAAUACUUUCUCUGUCCCAAAAUAAGUGUCAUUUUGACUUUUUUCACGUAGUUUAAGGUGAAAAAAAAUACUUCGGCAUAUUAUUUUUGAAAUUUUCUUUUUCUGAAUAAAAGUUUAUCAUCUAUAUUUUUAUUCAGAAAAAGAAAAUUUCAAAAAUAAUAUGCCGAAGUAUUUUUUUUCACCUUAAACUACGUGAAAAAAGUCAAAAUGACACUUAUUUUGGGACAGAGGGAGUAUCUAACGAAUACUAACAAUGGUAAUUCAGUUAUCAUUGGAUCAUUUCAUCAAUUAUUAUACAUUGAUAAUUACUUAUAAAUACAUGAAUAAUAUUUAGAGUAAAUGACAAAGCGGUGGCCGUAGUUUUCCAAAUUUUACAAGAUGGUGGCUGGACUUUAAAAACUACAUAAUGGUGGCCGGAGUUUACUUCCGUCAUUUAAUAAGGUGGCCGUCGUGAACCUCCGUUAAUUUUCCUCCGUUCUGAAAAAUAGAAGAGUAAAUGACAAAGUGGUGGUUGUAGUUUUCCAAAUUUUACAAAAGGUUGGCCGGAUUUCCACCAUUUUGUCGUUUAUUCUUUUAUUUUUCGGAGUUAACGGAGGAAAAUUAACAGAAGUUCACGACCGCCACCUUAUUAAAAGGCGGAAGUGAACUGCGGCCACCAUUAUGUAAUUUUAAAAAUCCAGCCACCAUCUUGUAAAAUUCGGAAAAUUGCAGCCACCAAUUUGUCAAUUACUCUGAUAUUUAUUAAUAAUAAUAUCUUAUACAUUAUUAUAAAAUAAUACUUUUGAGGGAAAAUAGAUUUUUUUCGCCACCCAACUUACUGUUUGUUUAGAAAUUUGCCACCGAAUUAUAAAUUUUUUCCUUUUUGUCACUAAUAUUAGGUUCAGAUAUUUUUUUUUGUCACUAAUAUUAGGAUCGGAUUAAUUUAUUAACACUAUAUUAUUCUUUUUAGCAUUAUUGAAACAUAAUGGUAGUCCACAAUAUUAUGGUGACAUGAUGUGUCUAUAUCUUUAUAGGGAGUACUCCAUAUGUGUCCUCGUUAGUGUACCUUGGAGGACGAGAAUUUGACACGUAUUUUAAGCCUCCUAAAAAAAUUAGUUUCAUUAAUUAUUUUAAUUUUUUUCUGAAUAAAAAUUUAACAUUUGGAUUUUUAUACACAAAAAAGAAAAUCUUACAAUUAAAUUAUGGAACUAUGUUUUAUAAAUAGUAUGAGAAGAACUAUAAAAAAUUGAGGUGGGCGGAGGGAGUAAUAAUAACAUAAAUGAGCGGUAAAAUCGAGAAUAAUUGUAUAUUGUCUACUUUUAUUAUAGUAUUCGUCCUUAUUUUUUUACAAUAAUAUAGAUAAUUGUAGCUGACAUCUAAUCUUGAUUUUUAAGAAAUAAUAUAUAAUAUAGACAAUAGACAAUCAUAACUUUUAUUUAAAAAAAAUUAAAAUAAUUUAUGAAAUUAAAUCUUUUAGGAGUCUUAAAAUACAUGUAGGUGAACUAUCUACGGUACAUAUAAUAUACUAUAUACAAAGAUAUAGACAUAUAUCAGAUCUUCAUAAUAUAUUGUAGACUAUCAUUAUAUUUUAGUAUAAUACUAAAAAAAUAACAUAAAGCUAAUAUUCAAAUCCGAACCUAAGGUUAGUAACGAAAUAUAAUACUAAAAAAAUAACAUAAUGUUAAUAUUCAAAUCCGAACCUAAGGUUAGUGACGAAAAAGAAUCAGAACCUAACAUUAGUGACAAAAAGGAAAAAAAUUAUAAUUCGAUGGCAAAUUUCUAAACAAACCAUAAGUUGGGUGGCAAAAAAAUCUAUUUUCCCUACUUUUGAAUGAAUGUGUCCUUAAAAUAUUUGUAAAAUACUCAUUAAUAUCAUUCAUUUCAUCAAUCAUUAUACAUUAUUAAUUACGAAUAACUACAUAUUCAAAAUAAAAAUAUUCUUUGCGAGGAAUUCACCAAGUUAAUGCACUCAAAGUAAAGAGUGAACCAAUAUACAGUUAGGCAACUCAAGUUAUAGGUUAUGAUUAGUAAAGAAUUGAUUGUAGGCAACUCAAGUUAUAUGUCAUGAUUAGUUAGAAUUUAUCUAAUUCAUCAAACUAAUGCACUCAGAUCAAAAAGUGAACCAAUAUACGGUAGUUAAAGACAACUCGAGUUAUAUGUUAUGAUUAAUAAAGAAUUGAUCUAAUGAGUUAAACAAUUCGAGUUAUAUGUUUUGAUUAGUAAAGAAUUUAUCUAAUGUAGUUAUCGUAUUUCUUAAUAGAUUAAGUUACUGUAUCUUGUCAAAAAAACUAUGCACACAUAAUAUUACAAUAAUGGGUAAAUGUUUUAUGAAUUUCCAUAUGCAUGAAUGUUAAGGGUUUCAUGCAUGAAUGUUAAGGGUUCUUAUCAUGCUAAUUUGAUUUAGUUACGAUUAAGGAAACUCGAAUUAUAUGUUAUGAUUAGUAAAGAAUUGAUCUAAUGUAGUUAGGCAACUUAAGUGAUAAGUUAUGAUUACUAAAGAAUUUAUAUAAUUCAUUAAGCUAAUGCACUCAAACCAAAAAAUGAACCAAUAUACAAUAGUUAAAGGCAUUUCGAGUUAUAUGUUAUGAUUAGUAAAAAAUUGAUAUGAUAUAGUUAGGCAAAUGUAGUUAUAUGUUAUGAUUAGUAAAGAAUUGAUAGAAAGUAGUUAUCAUAUUUCUUAAUAGAUUAAACAAGUUAUUUUGUCAAAAAGACUAUGCACGCAUAAUUACAAUAAUGGGUAACUGUUCCAUGAAUUUUCAUAUGCAUGAAUGUUAAGGGUUGCACACAUGAAUGUUAAGGGUUCUGAUGAUGCUGAUUUGAUUUAGUGUAGUUGGAGUUUAGUUGUCGAUAAGAUUAUUUCACAGUAUAGUAUAUAAUAUCAUCAGUUCUCCGCUAAUUUUCUUUUGGUUUGUGGUGAUCUUUUUUAAUCCACUUUGAUAGAUUUUUUUUUGGCUAUUUCUGCAUUACGUUCUCAAAACAUAAAAAAGACGCAUAAACUCAAAUAUAGAAAUAUUUAGAGCAUGCCCGUGCCUCGCACGGGCUAUAAAGCUAGUUAACACCAGAUGCUGCAACCAGUAACCCUCACUCUAUAUGCACCGAGUGAAGUAGGUCUGACCGAUGUACCCACCAGACAUUGCCCUUCUCACAUUAGAUUCAAACAACUUGGGGUUAUCCCUCAGCACUGCUGCUG
This 5283-nucleotide long non-coding RNA is filed under the name Daucus carota (carrot). RNAcentral describes it as "long non-coding RNA (DCAR_LNC001668)". The record is from RNAcentral. Lineage: Eukaryota; Viridiplantae; Streptophyta; Magnoliopsida; Apiales; Apiaceae.